Long non-coding RNA from Cornus florida, 242 nucleotides. RefSeq lists it as uncharacterized. The record is from RefSeq and is a predicted model, not a curated record. Lineage: Eukaryota; Viridiplantae; Streptophyta; Magnoliopsida; Cornales; Cornaceae. The transcript is spliced from 2 exons.
AUUAGGGUUAUUUUAGGUUUUUAGUGAGGAGUGCGAUGAAGACUGCAAUGAAGACAAUACAGAAUCACCCAUCUUUUCAAAUGAAAAGAAUUUUUUAAGGAGGAUUCGAGACAAACCUUUCUCACCCUACCAAAGGUCUGUAAUGGAGGUUUUUUUAUUCUUUAGCAGUACUUAUAUGUAUCAUUCGACAGUAUUGUUUGUUCAUACUUUGAAUAACAGAAGAGUUGCCGUCGAUUUGAGUA